CGAGAAAGCCCGCAAGGGUGAGUAAAGCGGCGCACGGGUGCGUAACACGUGGGUAAUCUGCCCUGGAGUCCGGAAUAACUCGCCGAAAGGCGUGCUAAUGCCGGAUGAGACCACGGGAGCCUCGGCUCCUGCGGAAAAAGGUGGCCUCUGUACACAAGCUAUCACUCCAGGAUGAGCCCGCGGCCCAUCAGCUAGUUGGCGGGGUAAUGGCCCACCAAGGCAACGACGGGUAGCUGGUCUGAGAGGACGAUCAGCCACACUGGAACUGAGACACGGUCCAGACUCCUACGGGAGGCAGCAGUGGGGAAUCUUGCGCAAUGGGCGAAAGCCUGACGCAGCAACGCCGCGUGUGUGAUGAAGGUCUUCGGAUCGUAAAGCACUGUCGCGAGGGACG
RNAcentral lists this ribosomal RNA (394 nucleotides) under uncultured Anaeromyxobacter sp. RNAcentral's name for it is "bacterial SSU rRNA". It matches the Rfam family "Bacterial small subunit ribosomal RNA", at positions 67 to 447 of the family's 1533-position model. The record is from RNAcentral. Lineage: Bacteria; Pseudomonadati; Myxococcota; Myxococcia; Myxococcales; Anaeromyxobacteraceae.